This is a non-coding RNA of Pelobates cultripes (western spadefoot toad), 339 nucleotides long. NCBI's taxonomy places the organism in Eukaryota, Metazoa, Chordata, Amphibia, Anura, Pelobatidae. The record is from the annotation of a GenBank genome assembly.
CUAAUACUCACACAGCCACAGGUCUCUGCCAAACCUUCUACAGGAAAUACAAUUAUAUGGGGAACAGUCCUAUUACAAAUUAAAUGCCACUAAAACACAGGCAUUGAGGGUGGGAGCACCCAGCCACAUUAUUGACCAGUUGAAAGCCGCUUUCCUGUUGGACUGGAGAGAGGGUUCUCACCUUCCUGGGACUGCGAAUACCUAAGGAUCCGAUGGGUCUCCGAGACCUUAACUAUGGGAAAUUGAGUGAGAUUGAAGAUACUCUGAGGAGAUCGGGUGACAAGUACCUGUGGCAGUGAAGAUGGUGUUGCUACCAAAAUUCCACUCUCAAAGUAGAAC